CGGGAGCAGCUGGAGAAGCGAGCCCAGCUCUGCCGGUCUCUGAAGGAGUGGGACCUGCGACGCAACCCCGGCGAAGUGGGCAGCAGCCUGGCGGAAGCCCGCGGUCCUCGCGCAUGGCGCCCUCCUGCUCCCGAGGCCCAGGCCCCGGCCCUGGGCCCCGCUGCCUUCCCUCUCCAGGCCCGGGGGGAGCAGGCUUCCCGCCGAGCGCAGACCUGUGGAGGUGAGGAAGUCCAGUCCCGGGAGCUGUCAUGGGGGAGCCCUGACGGGACCCCCAAGUUCCAGCGCAGCGAGGCUGCUCAGAGGGGUCAUCAUGUCUCAUCACUGGUUGUCCAAAUAGUGCAACCUGGAGAUCUAAUUAAGUGUAAAAGACAGUUCAGGACCAAAGUGAGCUCAAGUGUCCCCAGCCCCAGACUCUGCGGUGACUCUGCAGGUCUCUGCUUCCCUCUGAGUUCAGCUCAGAGCCUCAUCCGGGCUGCGGACUCCCUGCCAUCCCGCCUUGUCUCCCACCACCCUGCAAAGUGGCUCCGCAUUUCCAGUGCAGGCUCCAUUCACUCCAACCUCUGCUUUUCCUAAUCCCACCCCAGCCUCCCCUUCACCUCCCAACUCUGGGCCCCCUCUUCCUUACGCCCCAGCACUGAGUCUGGUUUUUCUGCAGCCCUGCCUGACGUCUCCAGCUGGCCGCAGCCCGUGGCCCCGUCUCUGAGGCAGCAGGGGCUAACAGCCCUGGGGCGGGUCGCUGAGGCCUGGACGCCUGCUGCUGUUUCCCAUGUUUUAGUCUUGCUCUCUUUGGAGCAUGUGGUUGAUGUUUUAAUAAAUAGCCGGUUGAAUGGUUGACCGAGGAAAAUAUAAAGACGAGGGCAUUAAGGGAAUCUCAGCCAGGCAGAGCU
This is a long non-coding RNA of Heterocephalus glaber (naked mole-rat), 887 nucleotides long. NCBI's taxonomy places the organism in Eukaryota, Metazoa, Chordata, Mammalia, Rodentia, Bathyergidae. The record is from Ensembl.